Molecule: ribosomal RNA, 453 nt
Filed under: uncultured bacterium
Lineage: Bacteria
Description: bacterial SSU rRNA
Rfam family: Bacterial small subunit ribosomal RNA
Source: RNAcentral
AGAGUUUGAUCAUGGCUCAGAACGAACGCUGGCGGCAGGCCUAACACAUGCAAGCCGAACGCCGUAGCAAUACGGAGUGGCAGACGGGUGAGUAACGCGUGGGAACCUACCUUACGGUCGGGAAUAGCUCAGGGAAACUUGGGGUAAUACCGGAUACGCCCUUACGGGGAAAGAUUUAUCGCCGUUAGAUGGGCCCGCGUAGGAUUAGCUAGUUGGUGAGGUAAUGGCUCACCAAGGCGACGAUCCUUAGCUGGUCUGAGAGGAUGAUCAGCCACACUGGGACUGAGACACGGCCCAGACUCCUACGGGAGGCAGCAGUGGGGAAUAUUGGACAAUGGGCGCAAGCCUGAUCCAGCCAUGCCGCGUGAGUGACGAAGGCCUUAGGGUUGUAAAGCUCUUUUGGCGGGGAAGAUAAUGACGGUACCCGCAGAAUAAGCUCCGGCUAACUUCGUG